Molecule: unclassified non-coding RNA, 402 nt
Filed under: soil metagenome
Description: partial contains 5.8S ribosomal RNA, internal transcribed spacer 2, and large subunit ribosomal RNA
Rfam family: 5.8S ribosomal RNA (bases 1-121)
Source: RNAcentral
GAUGAAGAACGCAGCGAAAUGCGAUAAGUAAUGUGAAUUGCAGAAUUCAGUGAAUCAUCGAAUCUUUGAACGCACCUUGCGCCCUUUGGCUAUUCUGAAGGGCAUGCCUGUUUGAGUAUCGUGAACACCUCAACUCUCAUGGUCUGCCAUGAUGAGCUUGGACUUUGGGGGUCUUGCUGGCCUACUGUCAGCUCCUCUCAAAUGAAUCAGCUUACCAGUGUUUGGUGGCACCACAGGUGUGAUAACUAUCUACGCUUGUGGUUUUCUGCCAGGUAACCUCCAGUGAUGGAGGUUCGCUGGAGCUCACAAAUGUCUCUCCACAGCGAGGACAGCUUUUUGAACGUUUGAUCUCAAAUCAGGUAGGACUACCCGCUGAACUUAAGCAUAUCAAUAAGCGGAGGA